GACGAACGCUGGCGGCGUGCUUAACACAUGCAAGUCGAACGGAAAGGCCCUGCUUUUGUGGGGUGCUCGAGUGGCGAACGGGUGAGUAACACGUGAGUAACCUGCCCUUGACUUUGGGAUAACUUCAGGAAACUGGGGCUAAUACCGGAUAGGAGCUCCUGCUGCACGGUGGGGGUUGGAAAGUUUCGGCGGUUGGGGAUGGACUCGCGGCUUAUCAGCUUGUUGGGGGGGUAGUGGCUUACCAAGGCUUUGACGGGUAGCCGGCCUGAGAGGGUGACCGGCCACAUUGCGACUGAGAUACGGCCCAGUCUCCUACGGGAGGCAGCAGUGGGGAAUAUUGCACAAUGGGCGGAAGCCUGAUGCAGCAACGCCGCGUGCGGGAUGACGGCCUUCGGGUUGUAAACCGCUUUCGCCUGUGACGAAGCGUGAGUGACGGUAAUGGGUAAAGAAGCACCGGCUAACUACGUG
RNAcentral lists this ribosomal RNA (468 nucleotides) under uncultured bacterium. Its description in RNAcentral is "partial 16S ribosomal RNA". It matches the Rfam family "Bacterial small subunit ribosomal RNA", at positions 28 to 507 of the family's 1533-position model. The record is from RNAcentral.